GACGAACGCUGGCGGCGUGCUUAACACAUGCAAGUCGAACGGAAAGGCCCUGCUUUUGUGGGGUGCUCGAGUGGCGAACGGGUGAGUAACACGUGAGUAACCUGCCCUUGACUUUGGGAUAACUUCAGGAAACUGGGGCUAAUACCGGAUAGGAGCUCCUGCUGCAUGGUGGGGGUUGGAAAGUUUCGGCGGUUGGGGAUGGACUCGCGGCUUAUCAGCUUGUUGGUGGGGUAGUGGCUUACCAAGGCUUUGACGGGUAGCCGGCCUGAGAGGGUGACCGGCCACAUUGGGACUGAGAUACGGCCCAGACUCCUACGGGGGGCAGCAGUGGGGAAUAUUGCACAAUGGGCGGAAGCCUGAUGCAGCAACGCCGCGUGCGGGAUGACGGCCUUCGGGUUGUAAACCGCUUUCGCCUGUGACGAAGCGUGAGGGACGGUAAUGGGUAAAGAAGCACCGGCUAACUACGU
Molecule: ribosomal RNA, 467 nt
Filed under: uncultured bacterium
Lineage: Bacteria
Description: partial 16S ribosomal RNA
Rfam family: Bacterial small subunit ribosomal RNA
Source: RNAcentral